UUGAUCCUGGCUCAGAAUCAACGCUGGCGGCGCGCUUAACACAUGCAAGUCGCACGAGAAAGUGGAGCAAUCCAUGAGUAAAGUGGCGUACGGGUGAGUUACACGUGGAUCAUCUACCUUCUAGUGGGGAAUACCCCCGGGAAACUGGGUACAAUACCGCAUAAGCUCGUAAGAGGAAAGCAGCAAUGCGCUGGAAGAGUAGUCCGCGGCUGAUUAGCUAGUUGGCGGGGUAACGGCCCACCAAGGCGAUGAUCGGUAGCCGGCCUGAGAGGGCACACGGCCACACUGGCACUGAAAUAUGGGCCAGACUCCUACGGGAGGCAGCAGUGGGGAAUCUUGCACAAUGGAGUAAACUCUGAUGCAGCGACGCCGCGUGAGCGAUGGAGCCCUUCGGGGUGUUAAGCUCUUUCGACGGGAACGAUAAUGACGGUACCCGAAGAAGAAGCUGCUGCUAACUACGUGCCAGCAGCCGCGGUAAUU
RNAcentral lists this ribosomal RNA (480 nucleotides) under uncultured Acidobacteriota bacterium. RNAcentral's name for it is "bacterial SSU rRNA". It matches the Rfam family "Bacterial small subunit ribosomal RNA", at positions 13 to 525 of the family's 1533-position model. The record is from RNAcentral. Lineage: Bacteria; Pseudomonadati; Acidobacteriota.